Molecule: long non-coding RNA, 5417 nt
Filed under: Aquilegia coerulea
Lineage: Eukaryota; Viridiplantae; Streptophyta; Magnoliopsida; Ranunculales; Ranunculaceae
Description: long non-coding RNA (ACOE_LNC000940)
Source: RNAcentral
GAGAUUUUAGAUUGGGUUUAUGCUCAACUCUCUUAAUUUUGUCUCUCUCUAUCACAACUCUCUCGCACACCUCUACUUCUCUUUCUUCCUCAAUACACAUAUCAACCUCUUUCUCACCUCUGCAGAUAAAACUCUCUUCCUGGAAAUCAUCAUCAUCUUUCAUCACAUAUCUAACUUUGCGUCUCUCCCUAUUAGUGAGAACAGUAAGAUGGUAUAUUUAUUUUUAAUUUCAGUUCUCAAUUAUGCUUCUCUCUCUUCCUCAACAGUAUUAAUCAAUUAGCAUAAUCUCUCUCAGCCCCCUCUUUUAAUUUCUUUUUCUUCAAAGAAGACUUCCUCUUUUAAUUGAGGUAUGGUUUUUACCAUUAUUUUAAUUUAGUCCUAUGAUUUUAAUUUAAUGAUUGAUUCAUAGUUUUUAUUAUUGCUGAAGGUGCAUUACUAUUUUGGUUCUACAUAAAACUGGAGGUGCCCUUGCCUGCUCUUACAUAAAAACAGGUCAAAAGUCCAAUCAUAAGUUACGAUUAGACUUUUUUUUUGCUCGAAUAUGAGAUAUGGUUUUCUGGUGAAAAAUUUAAGUACAAUGUCAUUCCUCCCCAUCUGUUAUGUUAGAGUGUGAUCAGCAACCAUUAAAUAGUUUAAUUAAUAAAAAAAAAAAAAAAAAAAAACUUGAUCGAAUAAUCUAUUGUUAUGUUCUUCUCUUUUCACUUAUCUAUAGAAUUUAAAAUAAAAACUUGAUCAUGGACCAUCAAACAAUUCUAUGUACUAAUUGAUAAUAUUCUAAUUGAAUUUGCGUAAACUGGUUGCAGAUUUUUCUUGCAACCAUCUUUCCAUGUCUGACUUCCCCACCGCCACUUUCUGCGGCACUCAAAAGUGUGUUGCAAUAUCUGCCACCCCCACUGCUACUUCAUGCAGCACCCAAAAACAUUUACAAGCAGGUUGAUCCUUUUAUUACAUUGACAAGCAUUUGCAUUACUAUAACCCAUUUCUAAAGCAUUUGCAUUAGUGUAACCCGUUUCAAAUUGACAAGAAGGCGUAUUUCUUAAUAUAUAAAUAGAUUUUUUGGCAUACUAACAUUUGCAGUUUUGCGGGUUUAUUUUUUUAGGUUUUUGCGAGGGUUGAGGAUGUGGAUGUAGAUGUCGAACAAGGAUUCACUAAUAAAUAACUCAAACAUAACCUCUUCGUAGAAUUGUAUUCACUUAUAUAUAUAAUUUGUGCAGUUUUAUUUUCCUGAAAUUCUCCUAAGGUUAAUUUUUAUUCGGUUGCUUGAAUUUUGCAAAUUUGGCCAUUAUAUUAAGUGAAGGUAUCACACUUAAUAUAAUUGAAGCAAAAUUAAUGUCAAUCAUCAAACCUAAAGAUUUUUGAAGGUAUCUUUGUUUUCCAAAUUAAUUUGGUUUUGUAGGGAUAGAAAAAUAAUUUAUGACGAAAGUGGCUGCUCACAGAGAAUGACUUGCUACCUUUCCAAACCACGGAAUCCUCACAAUCAUCACUACAUUAGUUCAGCAGGUGAGAUUUGAAUUGUUUCUUAUGCCCUUCAUUGUUUCUUAUACCUCCCCUAAAGUAGAACUGCCAUUUACGUGCAUUAUUUCUUAUACGUCUUCAUUGUUUCCUAGGAUAUGUACUGUUCAUGAGAAAAAUUUCCAAGAAUAAUGUCCAUGCAAAGAUUGUGUACCAAAACCAAGCGUAACUAACAAUACAGACAAUCAACUUCCUUUUAGUAAAUUAUCAAAUACACGGUAUGAAACCUUAACCUAUAAAGAAAGACAGGCACAUCAAACCCUGAUGCCAAAAGGCACCUCUUAUCAUUCCAAUAUUCAAUUUUCAAAUAAGCAUUUACUCUUUAAAAAACUUUGACAAAACAUAUUCAACAUCUUAGUGUUAUAUAUAAUAUUAGAGGCAAUUCAUCCUUCCUCACCAAACACUCCUGUCUCUCGCUUUGAAGAUGCUCCAUAGAAAAUCAAUAAGAUUUAGUUGAAAGUAUUGGUUGCAGUACAACUAAAAGUGUUGUAAAAUGCUUGAUAGUUAGUCAAUGCCCUAAGAAACUGAUGAAAUUUAAGAAAUGACAUUUAGAAUGAAAAGAACCCGGCAUUGAAGUAUGUUUUCCUUUUAGUCUUAGGCAUAAUAACCCUUUUAAAUCAGAAAAUUAGGACACAGGUAAGCAAAAUGAAAUUAACAUCAUCUUAUCCCAAUAAAUUUAAGUACAACAUUACUCCUGCUCAUCAAAGACAAUGCUCUCAAAUCUUUCAUUGUAGGUACUCCAUAGACAGCCACAUGAAUAAGUCAAAGGAAUGAGUUCUUUUUUUGGAUGUACAACUACUCUAUUAUGUUACAGUGUAAUGAGUGACCAUUAAAUAAUUCAAUUAGGUAAAAUGAUCAAAAAAUACAACGUACUUUCACUUUUUUUUCACUUUAUACAAUGUACAAAAAAUCACGUCAAAACAUCAAUGUACUUUGAAAUUUUUUCCACGUUAUACAAUCUGUCUAAAACAUGCUAACGGACUGCAGACGUGGCUAAUAUUUAUCUACGUGUAUUUUUUCUUUUAAAAUAAAGUUAAACAACAUUUCCAACACAUCAAAAUGAGGCACAUGUUUCUCAUGUGAUUGACUCCUUCUCUAUUUGACUCCUUCUCUAUUUGAACAAGUUUGAACUGUAGCAUCUUUUAUACAGUUUGCUAAUCACAUAUCAAUUCAUGUUAAGAUGGGUUAGAAAGCAUUGAAAUAAGAUGGGUUAGAAAGCAUUGAAACUAGACAAUCUACAGUAAUUUGCGUUUCGAAUAAUGGGUGACCGCUUUUUCUAUAUAAACUUCAAAUGCACUAUAAUUUGUUGAAUCUGAAAGAAUAUCUCCCCAGUAAUUACACAUAAGAAGAGACUUCUCCAAAAGCAAACAGAAAAUUUCAUACCUAUUGGCUAUUAGAAUUUAGAAACAAAGCCAACCAAAAAACUACAUUUAGAAUCAUAAAUCUAACAUCUUACUAUGUUUUGCUUUACAUUAAGAUAAGAGAUCAGUAAUACUUUCUUUAAUCAUCAGCAGGAGCAGCAGCCUGCCAACUUGCUAUCAAGUCUAUACAAUUAAAGAGUUACACUAAGAUGAAAUCAUAAGUUUUGCUUAUGAAAAUCAAAUGGGUUGAACCAAUUUACCCAAAUCGAGUCAUUAUCAAGACAGAAGAUACCAAUCGAUUUCAGUUACUUUCAUCAUCUUGCUAAUAGAACAUUAAUUAAAGCCAGAAGAACAAAAGAAAUCACACAAAUUUCCACAGAAAAUAGACACAAUUAAAGCCAAGCUUCUUUUCAUUCAAAAUUCACUUCUAAAUCUUGCAACAAGAUACAAAUCAAACUAAACAACUACAAUUAGAAAGAUGAAACAAACCCUAAAUGACUAAAUCUAACAUCAUUUUCGUGUUUCUAUGUUUUUUUCUCUACAUCUAAACAUCAAUUUCCAGCUUUCUUCAACCUAAUCUUCAUCAGCAGGAACAGCAGCUUUCUUAGGCAACAAAAGACUAUGAAUAUUAGGCAUAAAAUUUGAAUUAGGGAUUUACAGAUUUGUUGAAUUGAAUUGUUCAAAUAGAGAAGGAGUCAAUCACAUGAGAAACAUGUGCCUCAUUUUGAUGUGUUGGAAAUGUUGUUUAACUUUAUUUUAAAAGAAAAAAUACACGUAGAUAAAUAUUAGCUACGUCUGCAGUCCGUUAGCAUGUUUUAGACAGAUUGUAUAACGUGGAAAAAAUUUCAAAGUACAUUGAUGUUUUGACGUGAUUUUUUGUACAUUGUAUAAAGUGAAAAAAAAAGUGAAAGUACGUUGUAUUUUUUGAUCAUUUUACCAUUCAAUUAAAUAAAAAUAACUGAUCAACUAAUCCAUUGUUUUGUUCUUCUUCUUUCACUUAUCCAUAGAAUUUAAAAUUAAAAAACUGAUCAUGGACCAUUGAAUAGCUCUCUCAGAUCAUUAAGAAAACCAGAAUAACAACUUUUUGAGACACCAAUUACAUAUUAUACAACUAGGCACACAGACAUGAAGAAGUAGGAUUCAAGAAUUGUUCCAUUACUUUUAAGCCCAAAUACCACAAACAUUGGAGUGUCAGUAUUUGUCUAAUCAUAUGUUAUUCCCUUUAUGUCAAAUUAAAGGUAUUCCAUACUCUCAAUUAGUGCAGGAGAAAGAGAGAUUAUCAAAAGAGGGGGGAAAUUGCCUUUAUUGGUUAUGGAUUAGCAGAGAGCCAGAGAAGAGAGAAAGUAUUCUUUGGGAUAUUUGUUGAGGAAGAGAAAGAUCGACGGUAGAGUUGUGUGUGUGUGUGUGAGAGAGAGAGAGAGAGAGAGAGGAAUAAUGGUUUCACCUUUGAUCAACAUCAACAAGAGACUCUGUUGCCUACUAGAAAGAUCACCCUUGAUUCCAUAAAAAAAUUUUGUACGUGCAUUACUAUUUACUUUGGUUCUACAUUAAACUGGAGGUGCCCUUGCAUGUUCUUACAUAAAAAUAGGCUGAGGCCCCAUCAUAAGUUACACUUAAACUUUACUUCAUUGAAUCUGAGAUAUGGUUUUUCUGUUCCAUAGCCAGUCAACUAUAUAUGGAAGAGUUGAGUUGUAAAAAUUAUGUAUCCUGAUCAAACAAUGGAAACUAAAAUACCAAUGGAGAAGCGACAUACUUUCCAUGAUCAUCUCCAUUCUCUAAAAUUCCCUUGACUGCAACACGAAGAACUUUCCAGAACUAACUCACUCACAAACCUCAUUUUCCACCUCAUUUUACUUGCGCUUACUGUUGUGUAGAAAAGAAAUUUUUUGUCAUUUGAAAGCUAUGCUUAUCCCAUGUACAAACCACCUGUGUGAAAUAACUUUGCAGGUAGGCACCCCUGUCUUAAUCUUUUAUAGGUAUGGUACAUUAGGUUUGGUUGCUAAACUCUUGAGUUUUUUACCGUAUGCAGUCAUGUGGGCCAUCGAUCUGGCUUAUGCGCAAUGAAAAGGUAUUCAAAGCAACAAAACCUAAACUGGACAGACUAUGCAAGAAUGUGAAGGCUUUUCCAUUGUUUUGGGUAGAUGGCAAUGCAUUGAACUCUUACCUGAGCUUCUCUGAUCUGCUCGCGAACUGGGAGAUUUGGUCGAUUCCCUAGCCUCCCAUAGCACAUUCUGCAAGGCCAAAGAUGUAGUUGCAGCCAAGUGACAACCUCCAUCACUUCGUGAGCUCAGUUUCCAACUACCAGCAACACAAGAAAGAUGUACAACACUGAGGCAGCAGCAACAGGAAUACACAAGCUCUUAAUGUGUUUUAUCACUUUUAUAUGACCUUAACGUUAUUGUUAGUAAUUAUUAUUUUUUCACUACCUGACGAUGUUGUUUAUGCAUGUUGAUAAGGCUCUAACCUCUUUUUGGAUAUUAAGAAAAUGAUACCGUACCUACCACCACAAUAAAAUUUAACUGUCGGUGUUCUUCCAAGUUCAAA